Molecule: ribosomal RNA, 201 nt
Filed under: uncultured bacterium
Lineage: Bacteria
Description: partial 16S ribosomal RNA
Rfam family: Bacterial small subunit ribosomal RNA
Source: RNAcentral
UAAUACGUAGGGUGCAAGCGUUGUCCGGAUUUAUUGGGCGUAAAGAGCUCGUAGGCGGCUCAGCAAGUCGGUCGUGAAAACCCGGGGCUCAACCCCGGGAGGCCGGUCGAUACUGCUGUGGCUAGGGUCCGGUAGAGGAGAGUGGAAUUCCCGGUGUAGCGGUGGAAUGCGCAGAUAUCGGGAGGAACACCAGUAGCGAAG